RNAcentral lists this ribosomal RNA (215 nucleotides) under uncultured bacterium. Its description in RNAcentral is "partial 16S ribosomal RNA". It matches the Rfam family "Bacterial small subunit ribosomal RNA", at positions 524 to 736 of the family's 1533-position model. The record is from RNAcentral.
UACAGAGGGUGCAAGCGUUUGUUCGGAAUUAUUGGGCGUAAAGGGAGUGUAGGCGGUUCGUUAAGUCGUUCUGUGAAAUCUACGGGCUUAGCCUGUAACGUGCAGAGGAAACUAGCGGGCUUGAGUGUCGGAGAGGAUAGGGGAAUACCCAGUGUAGAGGUGAAAUUCGUAGAGAAUUGGGUGGAACACCAGUGGCGAAGGCGCUAUCUGGCUGA